UCACGGAACACACUCUUCUGGUUUCUCUUUCUCUCUCUUCUUUCUUACACUGAAAUCCUCUUGUGAUGGUGCCCUAGAUCCAUGGCUUCUCUGUCCAACCUUUGCAUGUGUUUCACUGUUGCUGAGUUUCAACGUUACCCUUUUUCCUCUCUUCCUCUCUGGGUCCUGGAAAAGCCUUUGGUGGGUCCCACAUUCACACCUUUGCAAACUCACUUCCACCCAAAUGCUUGUAACUUCUGAACACCCCUCCAGUUAGUAUUUAACGUUCUCUUGGUUCCACAUUUGUAAAGUUUGAUGCUUCCCCGUUCAUAAAUCACCGGUAUUUCAUUGGGUAAAUCAUUCCACUUUGUAAAAAGGUGUUUCUUUUUUGUCUAAUUAUUACUAUUUUGAAGAUUUCUGAGGUUUGGUUUGUGGAAUUUGAGGUUGUAAACUGUUUGGUCAGGUUUUUGAGUUUUUGUGGAUUGAGUAAUCUGAGAUCACAUUUGGGGUUAUGUGAAUAUUGGGUUACUGUAGUAAUUAUUGUUACUAUUACCAUUUGUGUGUAUGUUUGUGUAACAUUGGUGAUUAUGGUGAGUGAAGUAAAGACGAGAAUGCUAAGAUAGUAUCGUGGGAAUGUAAUUGAAGGGGUGAGAACUGAGAAACAUUGAGAUUGAAACUUGGUGUCUGUGAAAGGGGGUUGUUUGUUGAGCAUAAUGGGUGGUGUCUGUUGCAAGCCCUCUGCCAUUGAGGAUAGCAAGGAGAGUCCAAGGGAGCGUAUGUCGACCAAGGCGGCUUCAUUGGACUCUCGUGUGUCGAGGGGUGCUUCCUUGAGGCGGGAGGAUGCAUAUAGGGGGAAGGAUAGGUAUGAUGGUAAUGAUGUGAGGACUGCUUUGAUUGAUAAGCAAGGGAACGGUUCUGUGCGGUUGCAAGACGAAAAUAUUGAGAGGAAGAGGGAGAGAAUGGAGUGUGUUGUUGCUGCUCAACAACAUCCAGGGGCUGGUAGUGUUCCCAAGGCCAUGGAAGGGGAGCAGGUUGCAGCUGGAUGGCCAUCCUGGCUGGCAGCAGUGGCUGGAGAGGCUAUUAAGGGAUGGUUGCCUCGCCGUGCUGAUUCCUUCGAGAAGCUGGAUAAAAUUGGACAGGGAACUUAUAGUAAUGUUUAUAGGGCUCGUGAUCUUGAGCAAAAUAAAAUUGUUGCUUUGAAAAAAGUCAGGUUUGAUAAUCUUGAGCCAGAGAGUGUUCGCUUCAUGGCAAGGGAAAUUCACAUUCUACGUAGGCUUGAUCAUCCAAAUGUCAUAAAACUGGAAGGCCUUGUUACAUCAAGGAUGUCUUGCAGCUUAUACCUUGUUUUCGAAUACAUGGAGCAUGAUUUGGCUGGGCUUGCAUCACAUCCUAAACUGAAGUUUACGGAAGCACAGGUAAAAUGUUACAUGCAGCAACUUCUACAAGGACUUGACCACUGCCACAACUGUGGUGUGCUGCACCGUGACAUUAAGGGUUCCAAUCUUUUGAUUGAUAACAAUGGCAUCUUGAAGAUUGCAGACUUUGGUUUGGCAAGUGUUUUUGAUCCAAAUCAAACUCAGCCUUUGACAAGCCGAGUUGUCACUCUUUGGUACCGUCCACCAGAGCUUUUACUUGGUGCCACAUACUAUGGCACUGCUGUAGAUUUAUGGAGUACAGGCUGUAUACUUGCUGAGUUGUAUGCUGGCAAACCUAUAAUGCCUGGAAGAACUGAGGUGGAGCAGUUGCAUAAAAUUUUUAAACUUUGUGGUUCACCUUCUGAGGAUUAUUGGAGAAAAUCAAAGUUGCCACAUGCAACCAUAUUUAAGCCCCGACAACCCUAUUGGCGUUGUGUUGCCGACACAUUCAAGGAUUUCCCUGCACCUGCUUUAGCACUCAUGGAGACUCUUUUGUCCAUUGAUCCUGCUGAUCGUGGAACUGCAGCAUCUGCUUUGAAGAGUGAUUUCUUCACAACAAAGCCUCUACCUUGUGAUCCUUCAAGUUUGCCAAAGUAUCCUCCUAGCAAAGAAUUUGAUGCCAAACUACGGGACGAACAAGCAAGAAGCAGGCAGGGGGCAACAGGAAGCAGGGGCCAGAGACAUGACCUUGAAAGAAGAGGGGCAAGAGAAUCUCGAGCUGUUCCUGCACCUGAUGCCAAUGCUGAACUGCCACUGUCAAUGCAGAAGAGACAAAGUCAGGCCCAAUCAAAAAGCAGAAGUGAGAAGUUUAAUCCUCAUCCUGAAGAAGCUUCUGGAUUUCCCAUUGAUCCCCCCAGAUCGUCACAAGCUGUAGAAGUAGGUAUAGAAACUCAAGUACCACAACAUAAAAGAGCCUCCCAUUCGGGUCCGCUGGCUCACCGAACUGCAUGGGCUAAAUCUGGGAAGAACCAGGAUGAUGCUCCAAAGAUUUCAGUUGGGGGCGACCUAUCAACAAUCUCAGGCUUAGUUGCUGCAAGGAGUAUGUUGUCAGAUGAUCGCAGAGAAAGAUCUGGAUCGUCACAAACGGAGGCUUCAAAAUUAACGAACAGAUUCCCAGGAUCAUUCAAGGACUUCUCUGAAUCGUCAAUAAAACAAGAUCAAAGGCAUCAUGUACAGGGCCAAGUAGGCACUUCCCAAAAGGAAGAAGGGAGAAGCAGCAACAAAGACCUAGUUCUUGUUGGUUAUGGAUCAGAGGGUCAUAAAAUUCAUUACUCUGGUCCAUUAACAUCAAGCAACAUGGAUCAGGUGUUGAAAGACCAUGACCGCCAAAUUCAAGAGGCUGUUAGACGGGCACGUUUGGAUAAAGCAAAAAUUAGGAGGCUCCAAGCUGAAGGGAACCAGGAAAAACAGAGAAACUACCCUAAACUAUCCUUAAGAAGGAUGGUUUCAAGGGCAAGUGAAGGAUUAUCCCAAAUACCAAAAGGUUGGGUUUGGUGAACCCCAACAGAUGCAAGGAAGUGGGCAACUUCAUUAGCUUCCCUGUAUGCAUGAGAGAUGGAAAGAGACCAGCUACGAUAUGCAAGGUAAAAAAUUUGCAUACUUAACCCUGCAUGUUGGUGCAGCUGGGGGCACUCCCGCGAGUUGAUAAUCUUUUCUACCUCAAGAUUGUCCACUUCGCAGCAAACAUUUCUGAAGUCCUUGUUCCAAGCUAGCUCCAAGACAUGAAGCAAAGCAAGCAAUUCGACCUUCAUAACAUCACCAUAGCCAUCAAAUGCAAAGGAGGUCCGAACUUCUUCCCUGGGCACGAGACACCAACAUGCAUUAUCAAAUCAUCAUGAAGAAAAUGUAUGUUGUGGAUAACUUUCUAAAUACCCCAGCCCUCAUCAUAUUUUUUUUUGUUGUUACGUCGUUUCCAAAUCCAACAUGCAGCAGCAGCAAAUAAGACAUCCUUAUUCCCCAAGAUCAAGCGUUUUAUCCAGGCAAACAGGGUGAGUGUCAAAAAACCCUACUCGAGAAGUGAAAUUGAGACGAGACCAAAUAUCUCUCGCAUGUGGGCAAUCCCUGAUGUAAUGAAGAGUGUCCUCCAUCACAUGAGAGCAGACUUGACAAGCUGGGGAGUUCACUAAGUUACGGUGACGACGAACUGAAUUUGUUGGCAGGGAUUUAUGCAAGAUAAGCCAAAGGAACAUGCAAAUUUUCUCAGGGAUCUCAAGCUUCCAAAGCCACCUAAAGGACGCUAACGGGGAGAGAUGAGCUUCAUUGUGAACGCUAAGUAACCAAGAGUUGGUAGAGGCUGCUGUGUGGGUUCCAUUCGCCGAAUGUUUCCAUACCCAACAAUCUUCAAAGCCUGGAGCUAGGACGCAAUCAAUGCUGGCAAGGUUCUGCAUGAAAGAGUCAAGGAGGAUAGUAUUAGUAUAUAAAUGAUUUGCGCACCAAUUCUCAUCUAUCAUAAUAUCCCGAAGACAUAGAUUCACAUCAUGACAAGAGACCUAGGGGUUAGAUUGGCACAUUAGGCCAGAGGUAGCCUGUUAGGAGCAGAGCAUUAUUGCUCCUAUCCUUCUUAAGGAUAGUCAGCAUAGUCGUCCAGAUACAUGGGUCUCUUGGUGCUCCUGUUGGGCGCUCUCCAUAUGGGCUUCGAUGUCUUCUGUUGCUAACAGCCCAAUCAUCAGAUGAGUUACCCCGUCUAAAUUUAAAACCACCCAACAGUGUAUUUUUGCCCCUUAAAAUACCCCUCCGAAUAAAUGAAGCAUCAGGAGAUGACUUCACAUUAAAAAUGUAUUGUGCAAUAAAUAUUUGUGCAUACGAACUUGAACCUUGAACCCAGAGCGAGUCCUUCUUCAUGAUUAUACUCCAAACCAACUUCCCCACCAGCGAUAUAUUAGGGAGACAAGAAUCACGAAUUUUGAGACCCUGGUUUGCUUCCGAGAAGUCACCAUCUUCCAGUUCACAAGGUUCCAGCCCUUUUUGUCACCAUUCGAAGACCAAAAGCAAUUCCAUUAUAAACUGCGGGCGUAAGCCAGAAAAGUUGCAUGGUGUAAACUGGAAGAGAGGAGAUGAUCGAUUUAAUGAGACAGUCUGCCCGCCCUAUUCAACAUGCAGCCCUUCCAAGAAGCUAGGAGACGGUGCACCUUUUCUAUAACAGAAUGAAAGGUCUGAUUGGUUGUUCUUACCUGGAGAGGUGGUAAACCGAGGUAUCUCCCGAGAUAUGUCACCCUCUGUUGUGUAAAAGGAUCGUAAAACUAUACAACGAAAAACCUAAUUUUGUUGUACACAAGUCUACUGUACAUCUUUUUACACCCCUUUUAAUUAAUUUUAAUU
Molecule: RNA transcript, 4712 nt
Organism: Glycine soja
Lineage: Eukaryota; Viridiplantae; Streptophyta; Magnoliopsida; Fabales; Fabaceae
Gene name: probable serine/threonine-protein kinase At1g54610
Exons: 10
Source: RefSeq, a predicted model, not a curated record